RNAcentral lists this transfer RNA (71 nucleotides) under Claviceps africana. It matches the Rfam family "tRNA". Rfam says of the family: Transfer RNA (tRNA) molecules are approximately 80 nucleotides in length. Their secondary structure includes four short double-helical elements and three loops (D, anti-codon, and T loops). The record is from Rfam by way of RNAcentral. Lineage: Eukaryota; Fungi; Ascomycota; Sordariomycetes; Hypocreales; Clavicipitaceae.
GCCUCAUUAGCUCAAUGGUAGAGCACGAUACUUCUAAUAUUGGGACCUUAGUUCGAGUCUGAGAUGAGGUA